RNAcentral lists this long non-coding RNA (4659 nucleotides) under Homo sapiens (human). Its description in RNAcentral is "non-protein coding lnc-IRS4-3:1". Lineage: Eukaryota; Metazoa; Chordata; Mammalia; Primates; Hominidae. The record is from RNAcentral.
AUAUUGAAGUCAUCUGUGCAUUAUUAGCGUAUUAAAGAUUAAUGUUCAGGUUUAUAUCAUUAUAUAACUCGAAACAGAAAAGUUUACUUCAUUUGUUUUUGAGAAAAAAAAGUUCCCUGCCAGAUUUUGGUAGGAGGAGUAGGGAAAUAUUUUGACUCAUCAGAGUCCACUGAGGUUUUCUAUAUUACAGAGAAAAAUUACCUGAAGAGUAUACCACCCAUUAAAAAGGGUGAAAUUAACUUGUUGUUUAAAAGACCUUUGAUUAAUUGGGAAAAUAAGAAUAUACAAUAAGGUAAGUAUUUAUAACCUGUCAGUAUCAAAUGGGAAUAAUACAUCCAAAACAGACCACAUUAUUACAAGCAUCACCAUUUACCUUGCUGAUGGUGAAAUCACAUAAAAAUGAACGGGAGACAAAUCUAAGGUAUGACUUUUAGCCCUUUAAUAUUCAUUUUGCAGACUGUUCACAACCAAGUUUUAAUCUCGAAUUGCUUUCCUUUGCCACCCAGCAAGCUUCUGAGUUGCUUCCUUACGCUGUUCUUUGGAAUGUGCCCCGGGAAUGUAAACUCAUUUUAAUAUUGGCCUAAGUAAAAUAGGAUUAUAAAGGCAAAUCUGUGGCUCAAGUUCCCAUAAUGCAUUUCAAAAGCAAGUUAAAUUAUUUUGGGAUUAUCCUGUUUGGGAUAACAUUAUUCCUUUCUACUAGCAUAGUUAAUCAAGAAUUGACAAAUGUAUUUUGUGAAGUAAACAUGAAAUUACACAAUUAUUUGUCACUUUUUAUUAAGUUACCAAACAUUCACUUAAUGCUGGUGUAGGUGUUAUAGGAAAGCAAUGGCAAUAUGAAUCAAAUUUUAGUAGAGGCUCUGUCAUUUAAAAAAAGGAAAGAGAAAGAAAAACAACUCCAAUAAAAGCAAAUGUUCCUAAUCUUAGUAUAAUGCCAAUAGGGUAGUUAUAUGGAGCUUAAUUUGCAGGUUUCUGGGAAAAUAUAUAUGAAAUCCAGUGUAUCAUAUAAGACAGCAAGAAGUCCCUUUUAAAGCACAUGCAAUGUGCUAUAUAUGGACAUAUGAAAAUAUUUUUGGUAUUAAAACAAAAUAGUAAACUAAACUAGGUGAAAUACCUUCCUAACCUUAAAUAUCUAUUUUAAAAUGUAGCUGAUAUCUGAUAACACUGUAAUACUGGUACUGGUCUAGCCUAAUUUUGCAGCGAAUUAACAGUUACUAAUAUGCAGUCUCACAGUUAACUGUGGUUAUCACAGACUCCUUUCUUCCUGUGUAGAACUAGAUACAUAAAAUGUAAAAUUUCCUAAACCCACUGCUGACAGGAAAGCUUAAUACCUUUACUAAUCUAUGGCAUUUUUUUGAGACAGGGUCUCACUCUGUCACCCAGGCUAGAGUGUAGUUGCGCGACAGGGUUUCACCAUGUUGCCCAGGCUGUUCUUGAAAUCCUGGCCUCAAGGGAUCCACCUGCCUUGGCCUCCCAAAGUGCUGGGAUUAUAGGCAUGAGCCACCAUGGCUAGCAUUUUUUUAAACUUCUAAUCUACAAGAACAAACCUAUACAUUGAAUCUUAAUGAAGAGACACAACUAGUAAGAGGGAAAUGUACUGUUCCCACUCAGUGCUUCAUCCAGCUGCAAAUUUGUUACAUUUUAAAAAUCCUUGAGCCCAGGAGUCUGGGUGGGGCUGCAGUGAGCCAUAAUGAUGCCACUGCUCUUCACCCUGGGCAGCAUAGUGAGACCUCAUCUCUUUAAAAAAAUUGUAAAACCUUUGAUGAGAAAAUGAAUACUUAAAAUGUAUAUUUCCAGUUUAAUAGACAAUCUUGUACUUGAAGCCCACUCUGGGGGAUGUUUUCCAUGGAUUCUUUUAAGAUGUCUCAAAUAAAAUAGAAUACUUGGUACUUUGUGGUGACCUGAUCUUAAGGUAACACUGGCAUCCCAUAAUCAAUUUGCUGAUCAUUUAUUCCUAUCCCUUCUCUGGUCCAGCACCUUCUUCUAUGUAUCUGAUCACCCCCUGCCACACUCCCCAUUAUGCACCCACUCAAAAGCAGAAAGCCAAGAGAAUAAUGCUGGAACUUUUUUCUUUUAUUAAACAGAUGGGAAUUUCAAGUCUCCUUUGCAGAGUGAUUAUAUUGCCACAAAAACACAUUUUAGAAGAAAAGUGAUGCUUAUGGAAUUUUAUCUUCGUCUACUCCAGAUCUGCCUAAAGGAAAGAAAACUCAGAGGCUUCUGAGUAGAAAGCAACCCAAAUUUCUACAAGCCUACAAGUGGACUCUGGCAAUUGAAUGAUCCUAUUCAUGCAGAUCAUUCAUACUGCUGCUUAUGGAUCCAGUGAUUUCUAAUUAACAAUAUUUACACUGUGCUUUGUUUUUUGUUUUCUGGUUUUCCUCCCCAGUCUGUCCCUUUGAAAGGAAACAGAUACUAUACAAGUGAGCAUCUCAUAACUCUUUCCCUCUUUAAAAAAAAGUAACUUAGAAUACAUAUAAAUUUGGUCAAUGCCAAUUUUAAUAAUGUAAAAUAUUUAGAUUCAAUUUUGAAGUUGAAAAACUUUAAACCAGGGCACAUAAAGAAAAAACAGCUGUCAUAAUUGGAAGGAAGGUAUGAUCUGGAAUCUUUUUUCCGAGUAUUACACACACAAAACAUUUCUUGAUCAAUGAAUUAAAUGUCAACUGAACUGAUAUCUUGAUGGGGCAUUACCAGUAUUUUAAAGGCAGGACUAAAGGGCAGAUUAUUUCAAGUUUUGCUCAUUAGCAAAACUGCAACAUUCUGCUCAUGUUAUAUGUCAAUGAAACUAAUAUCUUGAUUGAGCAUUUCCAACAUUUUAAAGGCAGAACUGAGAAACAGCUAUUUGUUCACAUACAACACUGUGAUGUUCUGCCUGAAAAUCGAUUGAGUAUUUCCAAACCUAUUAUUUUUCAUUUAUUGUGAAACCUACAUUUACCUCCUAAAAGAAACAAAGCUCUUCAAAAGUCUCUUCCCAAGGCCCCUCCCUGCUUCUCUGGGCCUCUCCCCACUUUCAACCUCUAUUCUACUUUUUCUUAUUCUUUCUCCAUUUUCCCCAAUGCACACUCUUCCUCUUAUGCCCAUGGCUACUAUAAAGAGAUCAAUUUCCCAUAUUCAAGAAAUUAGUGUUUACUUAUCAAUCAAUAUUCUGACAAAAACUUAAGCCAAAAAGAACCUCUUAUAAGGCCUUGUUUCCUUCUGGAUAUUGAGCCAAUAUAAGAUGUACCAAAUUAAAAAAAAAAAUCAGAGCAAGCUCCCCCCCGUUCUAUUUUUGCUUGCCUCUGAUGUAAACUGAAUUAAGAUUUUAGGUACCUGGACCUUUGAGAACGUGACACUAGCAAGGUGGUGACCACAGAGAAUAGGUACAAAGGUCUUGAAGCUUGCUUAGAGCUUUGUUCCGUGGUGGCACACAAAUCUUGGCUUGCUGUACCAUCAUUGGCAAACCUCAUCAUAUCACAGUUGGGUGUGUUUGUAUGUGUGUGAGCACUAGUGUGUGUGUGUACAUAUUCGUGUGUAUGCACACUUUGUGUACCUGUGUACAUGUGAUUGUAGAUGUACCUGUUGUGUGUAAACUCUGUUAAAAUGAAAUUUGCUUCGCAUUUAAUGUGCAACUUUGAAGUAGUGUAAUAUUUAUCUAAAGGUUUUCACUACUUGGUUUUAAUGUCUUUGAACGUGUACUUCUAUCUUCAAGCAAGCUUAUAGUACGUGUUGCUAAACUAACUUUUCCAAAGAACCGAGUUGACUUCUAUUUUUCCUUGCCUACCAACCAAAGGGAUGGUGGGCUCUUUUUUCCCUCUUGUAAAUUGUGCUGAGGAGAGGACGUGGCUAUGAGAUCAGUCAUUGUUCCAGUUACUGGUCACUGCUAGGGCAUCAACUUUAUCAGUUCCUUCAGACUCUUCUCUUUUUCCAACCUAAUCAAAUAACGCAGUGUGGCUUUUGUUCAUUAUAACAACGCGCUCUUUAGGCAACUUUUUUUCAAGCCUUCUGUCACCAUUUUAUUUUUUCAAGUAAGUUAAGUAAUAAUUGUUCAGAAUUGUGGGAAAAAAGAUUACUUGGGGGAAAAUACUGUAUCACUUUAUUUGCAUAUUAGGUUCAGAAGCUGCCAGCAGACAGGGUACAGAGGGUACAGCACAGAUGUAACAGUUGCUGAAUAAAUGAAUGAGAAACCUCAUACACAGUAGUACGUAUUAUACAAAUAGUAACAGGUACACAUAGUCACAGGUACUGCAUAACAAAUGCAAUCUUGUUCUCAUUAUUUAUUAGUUUACAGACAAUUAAUUUAUUCAGUAUUGUGCUGGAAGAAUCUUUGUGGAAUAUGUUUACCAACUUAUCACUUACCUUCCAGCUAUCAGUUCAUGCUGCUAAGAAAAAACAAUGAUGGAAUAUUUUUGUGUGUGUGACCUCUACAUUUAAUUUGAUAUCAGGCAUAGUCACUUGGUCGUUAAAAACUGAAACUUUACAGUUCCACCAGCUAAUUACAUCUGCUAUUUCUGCUUCACAGAUAUGCUUUGAGUUGCUUUGGCUUUGUCUUCCUUUGUAAAUACUCUUGUACUUUCUUUUCCUUGUAAACAUCUCGUUUGCAGUUUUGGGAGACGACUUUGCAACUCUGUAUAGUGUUUAUAUAUAUAUGUAUAUCUAUAUAUAUCUGACUUGCCUUUCCAUACAGCUACU